UACGGAGGGUGCGAGCGUUGUCCGGAAUCACUGGGCGUAAAGGGCGCGUAGGCGGCAUGCCAAGCGUGUGGUGAAAGCCCGGGGCUCAACCCCGGGUCGGCCGUGCGGACUGGCGUGCUCGAGCACUGUAGGGGCGGGUGGAAUUCCGGGUGUAGUGGUGAAAUGCGUAGAGAUCCGGAGGAACACCAGUGGCGAAGGCGACACGCUGGGCCGUACCUGACACUGAUGCGCGACAGCAUGGGGAGCAAACAGG
Molecule: ribosomal RNA, 253 nt
Filed under: uncultured bacterium
Lineage: Bacteria
Description: partial 16S ribosomal RNA
Rfam family: Bacterial small subunit ribosomal RNA
Source: RNAcentral